RNAcentral lists this ribosomal RNA (1169 nucleotides) under Osmia brevicornis. RNAcentral describes it as "partial 16S ribosomal RNA". The record is from RNAcentral. Lineage: Eukaryota; Metazoa; Arthropoda; Insecta; Hymenoptera; Megachilidae.
AUUUAUAAAAAUAGUAAUGUAAAUGAAUAUAAGAAAUUUUUUUAAGUAAAAUAAUUUUUUGUACCUUUUGUAUCAGGGUUAAUUUAAAAUAUUUUAAUUAAUUAAAAAUCUCGAAAUUAAAAGAGUUAAAUAUAUAAAAUUUUUUUUGUUAAAUUAAAAUUAUAAAUAUAUAUUUAGAGAUUAAAUGUUAUUCAAUUUUUAUGAUAUCUAGUUUUUUUUGAAUUAAAUUUAAUUUAUAUAUUUUUAAAAAAUAUUAUUUAAAUAAAAUAUUAAUAUUUUAAAAAUAUAAAUAAUUUAUGGGAUAAACUAUAAAUUAAUUUUAUAAUAAAAUUAUUUUUUUUAUAUUAAAAUUAAUUUUAAAAUUAAAAUAAUUUAAUAAAAAUGUAAAAAUUUAUAUAUUUUAAAUUAAAUUUUUAUAUAAUAUUUAAAAAAAAAAUAAUUAUAAUAAUUUAAUUUUAAUAAAAUGAUUAAAUUAGUAAUUAAAAUUGUUAUAUAUAUAUAUAUAUAAAUUUAUUAGUUUUAAGUAUAGUUAAGGAAUUAAGCAAAAUUUAUAUUCACCUGUUUAACAAAAACAUGUCUUUUUGAAUUUAAUAUAAAGUCAGUUCUGCUCAAUGAAGAAUUAAAUAGCUGCAGUAAAUUGACUGUACAAAGGUAGCAUAAUCAAUUGUCUUUUAAUUAAAGGCUAGAAUGAAUGAAUUAAUGAAAUAUAAACUGUCUUCAAUUAUAAAAAUUAAAUUUAAAUUUUAAGUUAAAAUGCUUAAAUUUAUUUAAGGGACGAUAAGACCCUAUAGAAUUUUAUAUAUAAAUUAUUUAAUUUAAAAUAAAAUGUUAUAUUUAAUUGGGAGGAUUUUUAAAUUUAGUAAACUUUAAAAUUAUAAUAAUAUUGAUUUAUAGAAUGAAAUUGAAAUAUUUAAAUUUAUAAUAAUAGAUUAAAUUACCUUAGGGAUAACAGCGUUAUAUUUUUGGAAAGAUCAAAUUGAAAAAAAUGUUUGCGACCUCGAUGUUGAAUUAAAAUUAAUUAUAAAUGUAGAAGUUUAUUAAUUAAGUCUGUUCGACUUUUAAAAUUUUACAUGAUUUGAGUUCAGAUCGACGUAAGUCAGAUUGGAUUUUAUCUUUAAAUAAAUUAAAAAUUUUUGUACGAAAGGACUAAAUUUUUAAAAUAAUUUUAU